This 433-nucleotide ribosomal RNA is filed under the name uncultured bacterium. Its description in RNAcentral is "partial 16S ribosomal RNA". It matches the Rfam family "Bacterial small subunit ribosomal RNA", at positions 29 to 507 of the family's 1533-position model. The record is from RNAcentral.
AACGAACGCUGGCGGCAUGCCUAACACAUGCAAGUCGAACGAGACCUUCGGGUCUAGUGGCGAACGGGUGCGUAACGCGUGGGAACCUGCCCUUAGGUUCGGAAUAACUCCCCGAAAGGGGUGCUAAUACCGGAUAAUGUCUUCGGACCAAAGAUUUAUCGCCUUUGGAUGGGCCCGCGUUGGAUUAGCUAGUUGGUAGGGUAAAAGCCUACCAAGGCGACGAUCCAUAGCUGGUCUGAGAGGAUGAUCAGCCACACUGGGACUGAGACACGGCCCAGACUCCUACGGGAGGCAGCAGUGGGGAAUAUUGGACAAUGGGCGAAAGACUGAUCCAGCAAUGCCGCGUGAGUGAUGAAGGCCUUAGGGUUGUAAAGCUCUUUUACCCGGGAUGAUAAUGACAGUACCGGGAGAAUAAGCUCCGGCUAACUCCGUG